UCGGGAAUUUUGGGCAAUGGGCGAAAGCCUGACCCAGCAACGCCGCGUGAGGGAUGAAGUAUUUCGGUAUGUAAACCUCGAAAGAAUGGGAAGAAUAAAUGACGGUACCAUUUAUAAGCUCCGGCUAACUACGUGCCAGCAGCCGCGGUAAUACGUAGGGAGCAAGCGUUGUUCGGAUUUACUGGGCGUAAAGGGCGCGUAGGCGGCGCGGUAAGUCACUUGUGAAAUCUCUGAGCUUAACUCAGAACGGCCAAGUGAUACUGCUGUGCUAGAGUGCGGAAGAGGCAACCGGAAUUCUUGGUGUAGCGGUGAAAUGCGUAGGUAUCAAGAGGAACACCUGAGGCGAGGGCGGGUUGCUGGGCCGACACUGACGCUGAUGCGCGAAAGCCAGGGGAGCAAACG
This 402-nucleotide ribosomal RNA is filed under the name uncultured bacterium. RNAcentral's name for it is "bacterial SSU rRNA". It matches the Rfam family "Bacterial small subunit ribosomal RNA", at positions 355 to 774 of the family's 1533-position model. The record is from RNAcentral.